This 754-nucleotide ribosomal RNA is filed under the name Dokdonia sp. BL29. Its description in RNAcentral is "bacterial SSU rRNA". It matches the Rfam family "Bacterial small subunit ribosomal RNA", at positions 76 to 826 of the family's 1533-position model. Lineage: Bacteria; Pseudomonadati; Bacteroidota; Flavobacteriia; Flavobacteriales; Flavobacteriaceae. The record is from RNAcentral.
UAGCUUGCUAUUUGCUGACGACCGGCGCACGGGUGCGUAACGCGUAUAGAAUCUACCUUAUACUGGGGGAUAGCCUUUGGAAACGAAGAUUAAUACCCCAUAUUAUUAUUUUUUGGCAUCAUUAAAUAAUUAAAGUUUCGGCGGUAUAAGAUGACUAUGCGUUCUAUUAGUUAGUUGGUAAGGUAACGGCUUACCAAGACUUCGAUAGAUAGGGGUCCUGAGAGGGAGAUCCCCCACACUGGUACUGAGACACGGACCAGACUCCUACGGGAGGCAGCAGUGAGGAAUAUUGGACAAUGGAGGCAACUCUGAUCCAGCCAUGCCGCGUGUAGGAAGACUGCCCUAUGGGUUGUAAACUACUUUUAUAUGGGAAGAAUAAGGUCUACGUGUAGAUCGAUGACGGUACCAUAAGAAUAAGCACCGGCUAACUCCGUGCCAGCAGCCGCGGUAAUACGGAGGGUGCAAGCGUUAUCCGGAAUCAUUGGUUUUAAAGGGUCCGUAGGCGGGCAUAUAAGUCAGUGGUGAAAGUCUGUGGCUCAACCAUAGAAUUGCCAUUGAUACUGUAUGUCUUGAAUUAUUGUGAAGUGGUUAGAAUAUGUAGUGUAGCGGUGAAAUGCUUAGAGAUUACAUAGAAUACCGAUUGCGAAGGCAGAUCACUAACAAUAUAUUGACGCUGAUGGACGAAAGCGUAGGUAGCGAACAGGAUUAGAUACCCUGGUAGUCUACGCCGUAAACGAUGGAUACUAGUUGUUUG